CUUACAGAUGGACCCGCGGCGCAUUAGCUAGUUGGUGAGGUAACGGCUCACCAAGGCAACGAUGCGUAGCCGACCUGAGAGGGUGAUCGGCCACACUGGGACUGAGACACGGCCCAGACUCCUACAGGAGGCAGCAGUAGGGAAUCUUCCGCAAUGGACGAAAGUCUGACGGAGCAACGCCGCGUGAGUGAUGAAGGUUUUCGGAUCGUAAAGCUCUGUUGUUAGGGAAGAACAAGUACCGUUCGAAUAGGGCGGUACCUUGACGGUACCUAACCAGAAAGCCACGGCUAACUACGUGCCAGCAGCCGCGGUAAUACGUAGGUGGCAAGCGUUGUCCGGAAUUAUUGGGCGUAAAGGGCUCGCAGGCGGUUUCUUAAGUCUGAUGUGAAAGCCCCCGGCUCAACCGGGGAGGGUCAUUGGAAACUGGGGAACUUGAGUGCAGAAGAGGAGAGUGGAAUUCCACGUGUAGCGGUGAAAUGCGUAGAGAUGUGGAGGAACACCAGUGGCGAAGGCGACUCUCUGGUCUGUAACUGACGCUGAGGAGCGAAAGCGUGGGGAGCGAACAGGAUUAGAUACCCUGGUAGUCCACGCCGUAAACGAUGAGUGCUAAGUGUUAGGGGGUUUCCGCCCCUUAGUGCUGCAGCUAACGCAUUAAGCACUCCGCCUGGGGAGUACGGUCGCAAGACUGAAACUCAAAGGAAUUGACGGGGGCCCGCACAAGCGGUGGAGCAUGUGGUUUAAUUCGAAGCAACGCGAAGAACCUUACCAGGUCUUGACAUCCUCUGACAAUCCUAGAGAUAGGACGUCCCCUUCGGGGGCAGAGUGACAGGUGGUGCAUGGUUGUCGUCAGCUCGUGUCGUGAGAUGUUGGGUUAAGUCCCGCAACGAGCGCAACCCUUGAUCUUAGUUGCCAGCAUUCAGUUGGGCACUCUAAGGUGACUGCCGGUGACAAACCGGAGGAAGGUGGGGAUGACGUCAAAUCAUCAUGCCCCUUAUGACCUGUGCUACACACGUGCUUCAAUGGACAGAACAAAGGGCAGCGAAACCGCGAGGUUAAGCCAAUCCCACAAAUCUGUUCUCAGUUCGGAUCGCAGUCUGCAACUCGACUGCGUGAAGCUGGAAUCGCUAGUAAUCGCGGAUCAGCAUGCCGCGGUGAAUACGUUCCCGGGCCUUGUACACACCGCCCGUCGCACCACGAGAGUUUGUAACACCCGAAGUCGGUGAGGUAACCUUUUAGGAGCCAGCCGCCGAAGGUGGGACAGAUGAUUGGGGUGAAGUCGUAACAAGGUAGCCGUAUCGGAAGGUGCGG
This 1308-nucleotide ribosomal RNA is filed under the name metagenome. RNAcentral's name for it is "bacterial SSU rRNA". It matches the Rfam family "Bacterial small subunit ribosomal RNA", at positions 218 to 1517 of the family's 1533-position model. The record is from RNAcentral.